GUUAAAAAGCUCGUAGUUGGAUUUCUGCGCGGGUGGGGCGCCUCCCGGCCUCUGGCUUGGGUUGUGCAGCAACUCCCGCGCAUCCUGCCGCGAACCACGUUACCAUUCGUUUGGUGGCGUCUGGGGACCGGCUCGUUUACUUUGAGAAGAAUAGAGUGUUCAAAGCAGGCCUGAUGCCUUGAAUAAUGUAGCAUGGAAUAAUGAUAAAGGACUUUGGUUCUAUUUUGUUGGUGUUCGGGACCGAAGUAAUGAUUGAUAGGGACAGUUGGGGGCGUCUGUAUUCUGAAGCGAGAGGUGAAAU
Molecule: ribosomal RNA, 301 nt
Filed under: uncultured marine eukaryote
Lineage: Eukaryota
Description: bacterial SSU rRNA
Rfam family: Eukaryotic small subunit ribosomal RNA
Source: RNAcentral